Struthio camelus australis is the source of this 423-nucleotide non-coding RNA. NCBI's taxonomy places the organism in Eukaryota, Metazoa, Chordata, Aves, Struthioniformes, Struthionidae. The record is from RefSeq and is a predicted model, not a curated record.
CCCGGCUGAACUGCUCGAGCCACUUCCCUCGAACGGGGGCAGGAAGCGCCGGCAGGCUGCGGAGGGGGCUCCAGGCGAGCAGGGAGCCCCCUCGGUCUACGAGGGGCUGGAGGAGGUGUACGCUUCGCUCAGCUCCCUGCGCACCGAGGUUGAGCAGCUGAGACGGCCCCUGGGCACCCCCGAGAGUCCCGCUCGCGUCUGCAAGGAGCUGCAGCUUUGCCACCCCCACCUCGAGGACGGCGAGUACUGGAUUGACCCCAACCAGGGCUGCUCCCGAGAUGCCUUCCGGGUUUUCUGCAAUUUCACAGCUGGCGGUGAAACCUGUCUCUUCCCCGAUAAGAAGUUUGAGGCUGUCCGACUCGCAGCCUGGAACAGGGAGAAGCCGGGAACAUGGUACAGCACCUUCAAGAGGGGCAAAAAGGU